AGUUGCGAAGGCGGCUCUCUGGACUGUAACUGACGCUGAGGCACGAAAGCGUGGGGAGCAAACAGGAUUAGAUACCCUGGUAGUCCACGCUGUAAACGAUGAGUACUAGGUGUCGGGGGUUACCCCCCUCGGUGCCGCAGCUAACGCAUUAAGUACUCCGCCUGGGAAGUACGCUCGCAAGAGUGACACUCAAAGGAAUUGACGGGGACCCGCACAAGUAGCGGAGCAUGUGGUUUAAUUCGAAGCAACGCGAAGAACCUUACCUAAGCUUGACAUCCCAAUGACAUCUCCUUAAUCGGAGAGUUCCCUUCGGGGACAUUGGUGACAGGUGGUGCAUGGUUGUCGUCAGCUCGUGUCGUGAGAUGUUGGGUUAAGUCCCGCAACGAGCGCAACCCUUGUCUUUAGUUGCCAUCAUUAAGUUGGGCACUCUAGAGAGACUGCCAGGGAUAACCUGGAGGAAGGUGGGGAUGACGUCAAAUCAUCAUGCCCCUUAUGCUUACGGCUACACACGGGAUAGAAUGGGUAGUACAGAGGGUUGCCAAGCCGUAAGG
RNAcentral lists this ribosomal RNA (551 nucleotides) under Clostridioides difficile. Its description in RNAcentral is "bacterial SSU rRNA". It matches the Rfam family "Bacterial small subunit ribosomal RNA", at positions 711 to 1262 of the family's 1533-position model. Lineage: Bacteria; Bacillati; Bacillota; Clostridia; Peptostreptococcales; Peptostreptococcaceae. The record is from RNAcentral.